UACGUAGGGGGCAAGCGUUGUCCGGAGUUAUUGGGCGUAAAGAGCGUGUAGGCGGUUUGGUAGGUCCGCUGUGAAAACUCGAGGCUCAACCUCGAGACGCCGGUGGAAACCAUCAGACUAGAGUCCGGAAGAGGAGAGUGGAAUUCCUGGUGUAGCGGUGAAAUGCGCAGAUAUCAGGAAGAACACCCGUGGCUAAGGCGGCUCUCUAGUACGGUACUGACGCUGAGACGCGAAAGCGUGGGGAGCGAACAGG
This 253-nucleotide ribosomal RNA is filed under the name uncultured bacterium. RNAcentral's name for it is "partial 16S ribosomal RNA". It matches the Rfam family "Bacterial small subunit ribosomal RNA", at positions 524 to 776 of the family's 1533-position model. The record is from RNAcentral.